AAAGUUCAUUUCGAUCGAUCAAAACUAAGAGUUCAAUCGAUCAAAAUCCUUCGAUCGAUCGAAAAAGCGUCAUUUGAAUAUCUUUGGCCGUUCAACUUUCUGCACCUUAAUUUUUUUUUUUAUUUUUUCUUUUCUUUUUCUUUUUUCUUUUCCUUCCCUCCUUCCUAUUUUUCUUUUCUUUUUCUUUUUUCUUUCUUCUCUUUCUCCUCCCUCCCAUUCUCUUCGCAUUCUCUCUCUCUCGGCCCAACUCUCUUCUCCCUCUCCCGAUUCCAUCUUCCCCAUCUCAUCUCUCAAUCACUCUCCCUCAACCUCACAAAACCCGCCACCACACCAUCUCCCUCACCUUCUUCUUCACUCCGGCGAGAAACCCCAAGCAAACCGAGCCGCCGCCGAACCUCCAUCAUUUUCGGCAAGAGCUUUUGGCCUACGGCCAAGCUCUUUCUCUCUCCAAUCUCUCGGUAUUCUCUCUACUGUCUCAAUCUCUGGCCGAUUUAGGCCAAGGAGAUUUCAUCUCAUUGCCAACAAGCUUCUGCAGAUUCCGGCAAAGCACCGAUCACCACUUCCAGCCACGGUUGGCCGGAAAAAUUUCCAAAAAAUCCCAAAGUCUCUCUCUUCGUUCCAUCUCUUGUUCUCUUUGGAUGUAGCGUAGACGAAAGACUCUUGCUAGAAAAAGAGUACAGAGAGCUCAUUCAUCUUUAGUGGCAGAUUCUUCUUCAUCUUCUGCAUCCACAACAGUACAUUCAGAGCCAUCAUCUAUGGAAGCCGACCAUGCUAUUAUUCGAGAGGUCCUUGCUGAGUCUUAUGCUAGUAAGAAGCGGGAGACCGAGUAUAAAUUUGAUAGAGAUCUAUUCUCUGCCUUGGACCAGACCAGGUGGUCUUAUGAUGAGCUCGUUCGGAGGGGCAUUGAUGCCAUUAUGACACCAGCAGACACAGUUGUCUAUCCCUGAUUGGUUGCACUGUUCUACCAGCACCUCAGGAUGGAUGAGGAUGACAGACUUCUUCUACUUUCCACUAUUGACUGCCAGGAGAUCGAUAUUUCUAUCCUGGCCAUAGCUGCUGCUUGUCGAUGCCCUAUACUUCUCCAUUGGCUGAUGAUUCUCAGGAUCCAUUGUAUCAUACAGCUCCACCUUUUUCUUAGCUGACCCAUGGUAGCUACAUUAUAUCCACAUGCUGUUUUUUAGGGCCACACCUUUGUAGACCAAGUUGAGAUUGAUCCCCAGUAUUGGUUCUUUGACUCCGUGUUGCACCUCAAUGCAUUUCCAUCAGGCCAUGGCACUCAACAGCGAGAGAGGAUCUUUCAGGCUCUAUAUUGUUUGAGCCAGGGUUAUUGGAUCUCUGUCCCAGCAUUGAUUUGGGAGCUCAUACACAAGUUCUGGAAAAAUCUGCAUCACAUACACAGUACUAGAAUAGCGACUUUGCCCUUACCUUUUGGCUACUUGAUUACUCAGCUGCUACUAGAUCAGGGUUAUCAGUUUGACCCCUAGGAGAUUCCAGAGCUUGAUGCAGAGAGAGAGAGAUGAGAGCAUAUGAUCAGGUAAGGUGGACGAAGACUUACAACUCCUACCGUAAGAACAGGGCGAAUAGGGAUAUGAAGAGACUGCAGGCGAAGCAGCAGAGAGCAACAGAGGAGGCAGCUGCAGCGGACGACGCUGCAGAGGAUGCCGUAAAUAGAUCUCUUCCCAGACAGAGACGUCGCAUUACCACUACAACCUCUAGCACACAGCCAGAUGUCUCUACUUCAUCUCAGCAAACUGACCCUUUUCUCGUCCCUUUCAUAGAGCCGAUAGCACAGAUCGACACUCGUUCCCAAUAUGCCAAAACUGAUUAUGGUUACAGAUCAGAGGUCACUCAGCUGCACACAGAAUUCAUUUCCUUCAGAGCUAAUAUGACUGGGUGGUAUGAGGAUGUCACGAAGAGGCAUGACGAUCUGGUGUGGAGACAUGAUGAGUUGUUGAGGAGGCUCGAUGACUUGAGAGCAGACGUAGCUACAGUGAGAGGUGUGCUUGGAGCACUGCAGAUUGACCUUACAGCUUCUCUCACUCGUCACAACACUAAGAUGUCUGCCAUGCUCCAGCACAUUGCUGACAUCAUGACUCUAGAUCCCAUUCCAUGAUUCCACCACUUUCUCUCUCUCCUACUUAUUAUUUAUUCUGAUACACUACUGUUACUGAGAUAUUAUUGCACUAUUUUGACACUUGCACUGGUUUUGGAUAUUUUUAGAUAUUUUGGAUAUUAUUUCUUGCAUUACACUGCUACAUUGAUUUAUGAAUAUCUGAUUUUGGAUUUAUUUGCUAUAUAUAGAUUUUUGGGAUUUUGAUAUCAGUUUUGGAUAUUCUAAGCUUUACAUUGCUAGAUGCCAUGAUUUUUGCCCAGUUUUCAGUUUCACCUCUCAUUUUUAUCAUUGAUGCAUAUGUUUUGACAGUUGUUAGUGUGACCAUUUUCAGACAGGUUUUCGAAAUCUAAGUUUGGGAGUGCGCCUUCCAAAGCUAAGCUUCCGCUGCCGGGUCCUUUUGUUUCACCCAUUUGGUACACUCUUUCCAUUAUCUGUUGCUUCUUUGCACAUUGAAGACAAUGCACAGAUUAAGUUUGGGGGUGUGUUAGCAUAUUUUACAUGUCGCACUUGAUUUUUAUGCGUGUGGUAUGAUUUGAGAGUCCUGGGUUAUGAUUUUGAUCUUUUGAGGAUCAUGAUACUUAGAAUUUAAAAAUUGUUUGACUUAAGAGUCCAAUACUCUUUGUAUGCUUUAUGGAUGCUAUUUAGGAGUAAAUUUUUCGAAAGAUUGAUAUCUUGCUUACAUUUGUGAUGCACAUCAUCUUGAUCUUGUGAUUGUUUUGAGAUUUAUUGUAGGAUUCUAUACUAGCACAGGCGCACACUAACAUUCAUUUAUGGGGUAUACGCUUUGUUGAUUAUUGAUUUAGUUAUAUCCCAAUUGAGCUAGUAAUGCAUUGAAAGCUUUCAUAUUGACAAAAGUGGAUAACAGUCCCUUUUAAUUGAAUAACCGGGAUUCUAGUCUCAUCAAGCACUGAAUUUCUCGCGUCGAAAGGUGAAGGGUCCAAACUUUAGGUUAAAAAAAAAAAAAAAAAAAAGUUUGCAAAAAGCAAAUAAAAAAAAGUGAGGACUUCUCCCAAAAGGUGAGAAGUGAGAAAUGAUUAGAUGGAGGUGGUUUUGAUUUGUAACCUAGUUGAUUUGAGCUUGUAAGUCCUUAGGGGUGUUUAAACGCUUAAUGUCCUAAAGCCGUCCGGUUUGGGAGUCAUUGACCUAACGCUCGAUCUCAUAGAUCGCUAGAAAACUUAAUAGAUUAACACAUUGCACCAUGCUUCAAUCUUUGAUCCUUUAGGUUAGUAAAAAAAAAAAAAAAUCGAGUGAAAAGAAUAAGCGCACCUAGUUGAAUAAAGCUUUAAUAAAAAUGUUCAUUCUUUGUUUUGAUGAUCAAAACUAGAUUUGUGUGCUAGUUUGAGGCCAGAUGUGAUCAUUUAUUUGAUUGGCUUAGAUAGUAAUAUAUUUAAUACCAGUUCACUUAAAAGAAUUCUAGAGUUAUUUUGAUUUGCAUGAUCAUUAUCUUGAUGUGUGAAGGACCAUACUUGCUUACUUGAUGUUGAGAUUUUGGGAGAUUACUUGGAAAUGGUUAAAAAAUUACAUACUUGAGGUAAUUUUUGUGAUACCCCUCGGAUCCGAGACACGGGUUGAUCAGGCCCAGGCCCAAACUCGAGGGAAAUAUCAAACAAUUAAUAUAUAACCGAACACGGAAUACAAGAUGAAAUAAAAAAUAACAAUAAGCUGGAAGGAUACUAAUUGAAAUCCUCAAAAUAUAAUUUAUGAAAUCUAUUAAAGCCAAACUCCAAAACUCCAUAAGUUACAACUUGAGAAUUCAUCUAGUGGACCCCUUAUUAUUAAAAAUCCCAAUUGAAACUAAAAUAACUGAAAUAGAAACUUAAGGUAAACAUAGAAAAGAUUCCUACGUAAUCGGAGGAAUGAAUGUCUGUAUCUGCUCUGCACGUCCAAGCUCUAACCCUGGAACUGACGAACAUCUGAAAAAUAAGAGAGUGGGUCAGGCCCACAUGCAAGUCCUAUUCUACUACGAUCCAAACAGUAAUCCAAUACGCAGAUACAUAUUAGGAAGACUCAACAAUAUCUAGAGUAGUCCAUAUGUAUAUAUAUAGUACACACUAUAGGACGUUCACUAGUCCAGUAAGUCUGUCUCAGCCUAAGUAGAGAUACCAUGCAAAUCGCACAAUAAUGUGGUCAUGUGUACCUAGACCUACCAGGGAACAACACCUAUGUCCAGUUAUCCAUCCUCGGCGAUAUACGCGCUCUAACCAUGGUCCUGAGACUUAAGCUCAUACCAUGGUACCAUAUAGUAAAUAUAUAAAUCCUUGUACUCUUAAUACAAAAUAUCAACCAUCUGUAUUGUGGUUUGAUAUAUGUAUCACCAAUCCAUCCUAAAACCACCACAGGUCAUUCAAUCGUUUUAUUGAUAUGAUACAAAUAUGAGAUGAACUUGACCUUUUUGGUUAAUCCAUCAUUAAAUCCAAAUUAGGUAGAACACAGUGUUUGAAAACAGUCCAUACCCAGUACGCCACCGUCCCAUACCGGUACAUACAAUCCUCCAUCCAACACAGUUAACAAAAAUAGCACCAUAUACAUUUAUUAACUAUACUCCAGAACCAACAUACAACCAAUCUAAUCUGUGUAUGAUUCAAAUAUAUAUCCAUUAUAUGAUCUAGAAGUCAUAUUCUAGUCCUUUAAAAUGUUAGAGUAAAAUACAGCAACUAACUCCUCUAAAAUAGUACCAUAACUUGAUGCAAUAAAUAGUAUAGUUAAACAUCAAUUAAUUUCCAUUUAAGCAUACCUAUAUAUUUUUCCAGAAUAUGUAAUAUAUGCUUAUACAACAGUUGAACCAUGAACAACAGUUUAAAAUUAUGCUAGAAACCAAAGUGCUUUAUAGGAACAGCAAGCAAUGUCAAUGUAUAACUUCCACAUGCAGUGUAUUAAUUAACUGUAGGUUAUUUCAUGCUUUAAAAUUAAUACAAACAUGCUUUCCAAUCCUUUUAAAACUCUAGAACAGUUUUAUAAACCAUCCACAGCCCCUAAAGAAACUCAGAAACCCUCCUACAGGCCAACCGGAAGUCAGAAACAUGAAAAAUCAAAAAAAUAAAAGAGGAGCCGCCUCCACCAAAAGUGGAGCCGCGUUUCCCCUUGGUGGAGCCGGCUCCACCCUUUAUUGGAGCCGGCUCUACCCUUGUGGAGCCAGCUCUACCCCUUUGUGGAGCCGUCUCUCCUCCGUUAAGAGCCGUAUCCCCUAUUCUGUGCAUCUUCUUCGCCUCUGACAAAGUGCAGAAACUCUGUACAAUUUUUAUAGCUUAUUUAGGAGUUCAAUUGCAGUCCUAGAAUCCAUUAAAAUCAUGCAUUCAAUCCCAAAUACAUAAGGUUAAGCAAAAUUAAAACUCACGCAAAUAGUUUAUUUUUAAACAAAGCAACGUCCUACACACAACAAAAUUAUGCAAUGACUUAACAGUCGAUUCAACAUGCUUCUAAGAUUAAUAUUACUUCAACUUAAUUUGUUUUAGUGCUAAAUUAAUUCCUAGAGUCCACUAGGCAUGCACAAAACACGAAUUAAAGGGAAAGAAUAAAAUAGUGACUUGCCUGUAGUUUCAGAUUUUGAAACUAUAAUCCACUGUCUCUAAAGUUCUGUCCACGUCUGAGACUCUUGUUCUACACCUCAGGUGCUCUUGGUUCAACCCAGAAGCACUCCAUCCAAUGUAUCCUUGAACUUCUCCGAUAACGUCCUAGUUUCCACUCUCUGUAUCUCUCUAUCUCACGAUAAAAGUAUCAGUGAAUAGGGUUUUGUUUUAUAACUCUAAACCAACGUAUAAUACUGUAUUUAUAGGCUUUAACACAACCCUAAUUCUAAUACAAAACCAACCCUAAGUCGGCUACAUCCGUGUAAAUAAAACCCUAAUAUAACUAUAUGUGUGCCUCCAUACAGUCACGUUAAAAACAAUUAAAUUUAAUUAACUUAAUUCAAUUAAAACAACUAAAUUACAUCAGUUAAAUAAUUAUCUAUAAUUAAAUCAAUUCAAUUAAAAUAAGUAAAUAAUUAAAGACCAUUAAAUCACCACAAUGAAAACAAUUACAACUAACACAUGAGCGCGUCAACAAUUAAAACAAAUAAAAACAAAAGGCCAGUUAAAUAAAUAAAAAAAACAAAAAAACAAUUAAAUAAAAAUAAAUGCAAUUUAAACAAUUUAAUAAAUACCAGGACUAUCCUUUUGAAAUCAGGGGUAUUAUAUUUCCCAAUGCUUGUUUUGUAUAUUGGUUUCUCUCUUGUGGAAAAAGCUCAAUGUUUGUGGGUAUCAUUUCUGGAAACCCUCACGAGACUUCACUCGUCCACUAGGGGUAACCUAAGGGUUUAAAAGGCUUGUUGCAUACGCUAAAUGUAAUCAUGUUCCCUACGAAAGUGGCGUUAUUAUUUCAUUACUUUAUAGUUCAUAGCUACUUAGUUGUUUAUUUCUUUCUUUUUCUUGUAGUUCAUUGCUAUGGACUAGCAAUAUCUAAGUUUGGGGGUGCGAUAAGUGCUCAAAUGUAAUGCAUUUUAGCACCUAAGCUAAGGUAUUUUAGUCCAUUCAUCUAUCUUAAUUUCAUAUCUUAAGUACUUAUUUGUGUUAUUGCCUAUUUCAGGUUAAUAAAGUUCAAACAGGCUAACAAGAGCCAUUUAGCCCAAUUUUGGAGCUAACAAGCAAAAUUGGAAUGAAGCCAAGAAAAUUGCACCAGAGGAACUUCGAUCGAUCGAAGGGAAUCCCAAUUGAUCAAAGUCGAGCCGGUGCUAGCUCAGCAAAGUGGAAAAGACCCAAAAGAUAUUUUGAUGCCACAUCAUCUUCGAUCGAUCAAAGAUCUUCGAUCAAUCGAACUGCUUGCUGGUAGUAUGCUGUCUAAUUCCUCAGCGCGCCAAUCUUAACUCGAGUAAUUGCAAAUUUCCUCCAAUCAUAGGCUAUAUUUCUGACUUGGUGCCUACCCAAAGAGGCAUGUAAUGAAUUAAUUGAACAUUAUCUUGUAUCAUUGAUAGAGACAGAUUUUUUAUCAAUAUAGAAAUAGUUUCCUCUCUAGAAUUAGGGUUUUGAGAAGAAAAGCAAGGAUGAAGAUGAUGAUACCAACCUCCAAGCUAGCCCUUGAGGGUUCCAUAACCACUACAAUGAGUGGCUAAAUCCUUUACUUGGGGCUAGAGAUAGCCCCUAAGUUUUCUUCCUAGACCUAGUCUUUUGUACAUUUUUGAGGAUUUUAGUUGUAAUAAAUGUUUUGACCUUGAAUAAAUAUAGAUCUUAUGAUUUUUACU
Long non-coding RNA from Cornus florida, 7328 nucleotides. RefSeq lists it as uncharacterized. The record is from RefSeq and is a predicted model, not a curated record. NCBI's taxonomy places the organism in Eukaryota, Viridiplantae, Streptophyta, Magnoliopsida, Cornales, Cornaceae. The transcript has 2 exons.